Molecule: ribosomal RNA, 388 nt
Filed under: uncultured bacterium
Lineage: Bacteria
Description: bacterial SSU rRNA
Rfam family: Bacterial small subunit ribosomal RNA
Source: RNAcentral
AUUGAACGCUGGCGGCAUGCUUUACACAUGCAAGUCGAACGGUAACAGGCCUUCGGGUGCUGACGAGUGGCGAACGGGUGAGUAAUGCAUCGGAACGUGCCCAAUCGUGGGGGAUAACGUAGCGAAAGUUACGCUAAAUACCGCAUAAGCCCUGAGGGGGAAAGCAGGGGAUCGCAAGACCUUGCGCGAAUGGAGCGGCCGAUGUCAGAUUAGCUAGUUGGUGGGGUAAAGGCCUACCAAGGCGACGAUCUGUAGCGGGUCUGAGAGGAUGAUCCGCCACACUGGGACUGAGACACGGCCCAGACUCCUACGGGAGGCAGCAGUGGGGAAUUUUGGACAAUGGGCGCAAGCCUGAUCCAGCCAUGCCGCGUGCGGGACGAAGGCCUUC